Molecule: ribosomal RNA, 460 nt
Filed under: uncultured bacterium
Lineage: Bacteria
Description: partial 16S ribosomal RNA
Rfam family: Bacterial small subunit ribosomal RNA
Source: RNAcentral
CCUACGGGGUGCAGCAGUGAGGAAUAUUGGUCAAUGGACGAGAGUCUGAACCAGCCAAGUAGCGUGAAGGAUGACUGCCCUAUGGGUUGUAAACUUCUUUUAUAUGGGAAUAAAAUGUUCCACGUGUGGGAUUUUGUAUGUACCAUAUGAAUAAGGAUCGGCUAACUCCGUGCCAGCAGCCGCGGUAAUACGGAGGAUCCGAGCGUUAUCCGGAUUUAUUGGGUUUAAAGGGAGCGUAGGUGGAUUGUUAAGUCAGUUGUGAAAGUUUGCGGCUCAACCGUAAAAUUGCAGUUGAAACUGGCAGUCUGGAGUACAGUAGAGGUGGGCGGAAUUCGUGGUGUAGCGGUGAAAUGCUUAGAUAUCACGAAGAACUCCGAUUGCGAAGGCAGCUCACUGGACUGCAACUGACACUGAGGCUCGAAAGUGUGGGUAUCAAACAGGAUUAGAUACCCGAGUAGUC